CGUAGUGGGGGACAACCGUGGGAAACUACGGCUAAUACCGCAUGAUGCCUGAGGGCCAAAGACGAAAGUCGUUUGAGGAGGAGCCUGCGUCUGAUUAGGUAGUUGGUGGGGUAAAGGCCUACCCAAGCCUGCGAUCAGUAGCUGGUCUGAGAGGAUGAUCAGCCACAUUGGGACUGAGACACGGCCCAAACUCCUACGGGAGGCAGCAGUGGGGAAUAUUGGACAAUGGGCGCAAGCCGGAUCCAGCAAUGCCGCGUGGGUGAAGAAGGUCUUCGGAUUGUAAAGCCCUUUUGGCGGGGACGAUGAUGACGGUACCCGCAGAACAAGCUCCGGCUAACUUCGUG
This 344-nucleotide ribosomal RNA is filed under the name uncultured bacterium. RNAcentral's name for it is "bacterial SSU rRNA". It matches the Rfam family "Bacterial small subunit ribosomal RNA", at positions 132 to 507 of the family's 1533-position model. The record is from RNAcentral.